RNAcentral lists this ribosomal RNA (406 nucleotides) under uncultured bacterium. RNAcentral's name for it is "partial 16S ribosomal RNA". It matches the Rfam family "Bacterial small subunit ribosomal RNA", at positions 30 to 526 of the family's 1533-position model. The record is from RNAcentral.
AUUGAACGCUGGCGGCAGGCCUAACACAUGCAAGUCGAACGAGUGGCGGACGGGUGAGUAAUGUCUGGGAAACUGCCUGAUGGGGGGGGAUAACUACUGGAAACGGUGGCUAAUACCGCAUACCAUCGGAUGUGCCCAGAUGGGAUUAGCUAGUAGGUGGGGUAAAGGCUCACCUAGGCGACGAUCCCUAGCUGGUCUGCGAGGAUGACCGGCCACAUUGGACUGGAGACACGCUCCAGACCCCGCCGGAAGGCAGAAGUGGGGAAUAUUGCACAAGGGGCGCAAGCCUGAUGCAGCCAUGCCGCGUGUAGGAAGAAGGCUUUCGGGUUGUAAAGUACUUUCAGCGGGGAGGCGUUACCCGCAGAAGAAGCACCGGCUAACUCCGUGCCAGCAGCCGCGGUAAUAC